UGGGGAAUAUUGGACAAUGGGCGAAAGCCUGAUCCAGCCAUGCCGCGUGUGUGAAGAAGGUCUUCGGAUUGUAAAGCACUUUAAGUUGGGAGGAAGGGCAUUAACCUAAUACGUUAGUGUUUUGACGUUACCGACAGAAUAAGCACCGGCUAACUCUGUGCCAGCAGCCGCGGAAAUACAGAGGGUGCAAGCGUUAAUAGGAAUUACUGGGCGUAAAGCGCGCGUAGGUGGUUUGUUAAGUUGGAUGUGAAAUCCCCGGGCUCAACCUGGGAACUGCAUUCAAAACUGACUGACUAGAGUAUGGUAGAGGGUGGUGGAAUUUCCUGUGUAGCGGUGAAAUGCGUAGAUAUAGGAAGGAACACCAGUGGCGAAGGCGACCACCUGGACUAAUACUGACACUGAGGUGCGAAAGCGUGGGGAGCAAACA
Molecule: ribosomal RNA, 427 nt
Filed under: uncultured bacterium
Lineage: Bacteria
Description: partial 16S ribosomal RNA
Rfam family: Bacterial small subunit ribosomal RNA
Source: RNAcentral